GACGAACGCUGGCGGCGUGCUUAACACAUGCAAGUCGAACGGUGAAGCGCCUUCCUUUUUGGUGGGUGUGGAGGAGUGGCGAACUGGUGAGUAACACGUUAGUAACCUGCCCCCUUCUUCUGGAUAACCGCAUGAAAGUGUGGCUAAUACGGGAUAUUCUGGGUCUGUCGCAUGAUGGGUCUGGGAAAGAUUUUGUUUCGGUGGGGGAUGGGCUCGCGGCCUAUCAGCUUGUUGGUGGGGUGAUGGCCUACCAAGGCGGUGACGGGUAGCCGGCCUGAGAGGGUGGACGGUCCCACUGGGACUGAGACACGGACCAGACUCCUACGGGAGGCAGCAGUGGGGAAUAUUGCACAAUGGGCGCAAGCCUGAUGCAGCGACGCCGCGUGAGGGAUGGAGGCCGUCGGGUUGUGAACCUCUUUCGCCAGUGAAGCAGGCCUGCCUCGUUUGUGGGUGGGUUGACGGUAGCUGGAUAAGAAGCGCCGGCUAACUACGUG
RNAcentral lists this ribosomal RNA (494 nucleotides) under uncultured bacterium. Its description in RNAcentral is "partial 16S ribosomal RNA". It matches the Rfam family "Bacterial small subunit ribosomal RNA", at positions 28 to 507 of the family's 1533-position model. The record is from RNAcentral.